RNAcentral lists this ribosomal RNA (136 nucleotides) under Prolemur simus (greater bamboo lemur). The record is from RNAcentral. Lineage: Eukaryota; Metazoa; Chordata; Mammalia; Primates; Lemuridae.
GUCUAUGACCAUACCACCCUGAACGCACCCUAUCUCGUCUGAUCUGGGAAGCUAAGCAGGUUCGGGCCUGGUUAGUACUUGGAUGGGAGGAUGGCAUAGUGAGACACCUGAGAAAACAAUCCUGGAAGCAGGGUCU